AGUCGAACGAGAGAUGAGGAGCUUGCUCUUCAAAUCGAGUGGCGAACGGGUGAGUAACGCGUGAGGAACCUGCCUCAAAGAGGGGGACAACAGUUGGAAACGACUGCUAAUACCGCAUAAGCCCACGGCUCGGCAUCGAGCAGAGGGAAAAGGAGCAAUCCGCUUUGAGAUGGCCUCGCGUCCGAUUAGCUAGUUGGUGAGGUAACGGCCCACCAAGGCGACGAUCGGUAGCCGGACUGAGAGGUUGAACGGCCACAUUGGGACUGAGACACGGCCCAGACUCCUACGGGAGGCAGCAGUGGGGAAUAUUGCACAAUGGGGGAAACCCUGAUGCAGCGACGCCGCGUGGAGGAAGAAGGUCUUCGGAUUGUAAACUCCUGUUGUUGAGGAAGAUAAUGACGGUACUCAACAAGGAAGUGACGGCUAACUACGUGCCAGCAGCCGCGGUAAAACGUAGGUCACAAGCGUUGUCCGGAAUUACUGGGUGUAAAGGGAGCGCAGGCGGGAGAACAAGUUGGAAGUGAAAUCCAUGGGCUCAACCCAUGAACUGCUUUCAAAACUGUUUUUCUUGAGUAGUGCAGAGGUAGGCGGAAUUCCCGGUGUAGCGGUGGAAUGCGUAGAUAUCGGGAGGAACACCAGUGGCGAAGGCGGCCUACUGGGCACCAACUGACGCUGAGGCUCGAAAGUGUGGGUAGCAAACAGGAUUAGAUACCCUGGUAGUCCACACCGUAAACGAUGAUUACUAGGUGUUGGAGGAUUGACCCCUUCAGUGCCGCAGUUAACACAAUAAGUAAUCCACCUGGGGAGUACGACCGCA
This 817-nucleotide ribosomal RNA is filed under the name uncultured bacterium. RNAcentral's name for it is "bacterial SSU rRNA". It matches the Rfam family "Bacterial small subunit ribosomal RNA", at positions 60 to 890 of the family's 1533-position model. The record is from RNAcentral.